Molecule: ribosomal RNA, 495 nt
Filed under: uncultured bacterium
Lineage: Bacteria
Description: partial 16S ribosomal RNA
Rfam family: Bacterial small subunit ribosomal RNA
Source: RNAcentral
GACGAACGCUGGCGGCGUGCCUAAUACAUGCAGGUAGAACGCUGAAGGAGGAGCUUGCUUCUCUGGAUGAGUUGCGAACGGGUGAGUAACGCGUAGGUAACCUGCCUGGUAGCGGGGGAUAACUAUUGGAAACGAUAGCUAAUACCGCAUAAUAUUGACUAUUGCAUGAUAGUCAGUUGAAAGGUGCAACUGCACCACUACCAGAUGGACCUGCGUUGUAUUAGCUAGUUGGUGGGGUAACGGCUCACCAAGGCGACGAUACAUAGCCGACCUGAGAGGGUGAUCGGCCACACUGGGACUGAGACACGGCCCAGACUCCUACGGGAGGCAGCAGUAGGGAAUCUUCGGCAAUAGACGGAAGUCUGACCGAGCAACGCCGCGUGAGUGAAGAAGGUUUUCGGAUCGUAAAGCUCUGUUGUAAGAGAAGAACGAGUGUGAGAGUGGAAAGCUCACACUGUGACGGUAUCUUACCAGAAAGGGACGGCUAACUACGUG